Molecule: transfer RNA, 73 nt
Filed under: Pyronema omphalodes
Lineage: Eukaryota; Fungi; Ascomycota; Pezizomycetes; Pezizales; Pyronemataceae
Description: tRNA-Ala
Rfam family: tRNA
About the family: Transfer RNA (tRNA) molecules are approximately 80 nucleotides in length. Their secondary structure includes four short double-helical elements and three loops (D, anti-codon, and T loops). Further hydrogen bonds mediate the characteristic L-shaped molecular structure. tRNAs have two regions of fundamental functional importance: the anti-codon, which is responsible for specific mRNA codon recognition, and the 3' end, to which the tRNAs corresponding amino acid is attached (by aminoacyl-tRNA synthetases). tRNAs cope with the degeneracy of the genetic code in two manners: having more than one tRNA (with a specific anti-codon) for a particular amino acid; and 'wobble' base-pairing, i.e. permitting non-standard base-pairing at the 3rd anti-codon position.
Source: RNAcentral
GGGGAAAUAGUCUAAUUGGUAAAACUACAAUUUUGCGUAUUGUAUUUUCAGGUUCGAGUCCUGAUUUCUCCAC